RNAcentral lists this ribosomal RNA (253 nucleotides) under uncultured bacterium. RNAcentral's name for it is "partial 16S ribosomal RNA". It matches the Rfam family "Bacterial small subunit ribosomal RNA", at positions 524 to 776 of the family's 1533-position model. The record is from RNAcentral.
UACGUAGGGAGCAAGCGUUGUUCGGAUUUACUGGGCGUAAAGGGCGCGUAGGCGGCGCGGUAAGUCACUUGUGAAAUCUCUGAGCUUAACUCAGAACGGCCAAGUGAUACUGCAGUGCUAGAGUGCAGAAAGGGCAAUCGGAAUUCUUGGUGUAGCGGUGAAAUGCGUAGAUAUCAGGAGGAACACCGGUGGCGAAGGCGGUUCUCUGGGCAUUACCUGACGCUGAGGAGCGAAAGUGUGGGGAGCGAACAGG